This is a long non-coding RNA of Lynx canadensis (Canada lynx), 2436 nucleotides long. RefSeq lists it as uncharacterized. The record is from RefSeq and is a predicted model, not a curated record. NCBI's taxonomy places the organism in Eukaryota, Metazoa, Chordata, Mammalia, Carnivora, Felidae. The transcript is spliced from 7 exons.
GGAAAAGGCGGGCUCUUAAGGUGCAAGACUCCUACUCUUCCUCUUCGUGGGCGCUGCGCUUGACGCCGUGACCAAUCACAGGCCACGUCGCGUCGCUGCAGCCAAUCGGAAGAGCCUAGAACAUUAAGACGAGCAUUUGACGACUCCUCCUCUCUGUUCCAGGUUCCCUGAUGUGGCGAUGUUAUAGGAGCUGUUGGGAUGGUUGGCCUUAGAUAUGUGACCCCGGAGGAGCAUGAAUAAGAGUGUUAAUACGGGGAUACGUCGUUUUUUAAUUCAACGAACAUUUUCUACAAGACCGUUUGUCACUGUGGGGCAAUUAAGGAAACAAGGCGAGGGUGAUUCCAACAUUUCCAAGCCAGAUUGCGUCUUUUUCCCCUUGUUGUUUUCUUAGUCCAGAUUCCAGCCAAAAGGAAUUACAUUCUUGGAGAUGUUGGAAAAAGAUUCCUGGGACUUCAAAGAUAAUCACUCCAGAUAUACAGGGGAGUGGGAGGAGGGCAAAGCAGAGAGACAUCAUCUUCUGGGCUCUCACUUGGCAAGCCUUGGUUUCUUGAUGGCUGUUGACUGAAGACUUCAGUGCUUCACCAUGAGAACCUCUCCAUAGGGUGCCUGAGAACUCUCGCAACAUGACAACUAUCUUUCCCCAGAGGGAAUGAUCCAAGAGAGAAAUGCCAAGUUAACAUGAAUGAAAUUGAAGGGUGUUUUUGUCAGAUUUAUCUGAUAAAGAAUUUGAACAUUUAUAUAGUAAGAUACAGGUGGUCCUUACUUUGCACCGUUCCAUUAUACAUGAAGAUCAGUUUUCACAGUUUAGUUAAAUAACACCAAUCCUCCUACAACACAGUUGUGAUUUCAGUUACAAUAGUAACUGAAUUGUUGCAUAAGUUUUGUUGCUAGCUCUUUAUUCCACAACUGAUUAUGCAUUAUAAAAGAUGUGCAUCAUGGUCAGUAACCAGUUACAUCACAUCUUUCAAAGUCUCUUGGUGAUUGAUCACUAAACAUCUAUUAGUUCACAGAGUAAAGCAUGUAGUUGUAUUGCUUACUUGUUUCCCAGUAAUAAACCCAUGCAACAUUGUACAAAACUGGAUAAUCAGAAGAGGGAAUUGGCAGGGCAGCAAAGAAACAAGUGAUUUUUAACACUGGAAGUGAAAUUGGAUUUGAAAAUGGCGACAGCAUAGUGAAGACGAGACGAGACCCAGGCCUACAUAAAGCUGCAGCAGAAACUGUGGUUUAAAAGUUCGAGGAAUAUAAAAAGCAAAGUAAAGUUGCUUCAACAUUUUUUAGUUUAAAUUACACUAGGAACAGAAAGCCACUUACAGUUGAAAUGGAGUGCUUGCUUCUACUUUGGAUGGAGGACUGUAAUAAAAAAUCCUAAUCAGUUUGGCUAGCAUUCAGGCCAGAGUGUUGAGGUUAGUUGCUGCACUGAAGGAAAAUGGUAAUUACCAGGAGACUAAAAAAGAACGUUUUUUGCUGGGAAAGGCUGGUUUCAUCGUUCAGAAGUCUGGAGCGCCUGCGUGGCUCAGUCGGUUAAGGUUAAGCAUCGUUUGGAGGUCGGCGUGAAUGGAAUAAUGUUCCACUGGUGAAGCUGCAUGUUCAGAUAAGGAUGCUACUGGGAAAUUUGCACCCAUGUUCCAAGAAUCACAGGCAGUCCUUGCUUUGCACAGUGGUAUGAGACUACUGUGCAAAACUUCAUAGGAUUUGGCUGGAAUGUAAAUGGAGUUCCGGAAGAUAUGACUGUGGGAAUGUUUACACUGCUGCCAUUCAGGAAGUAGUUCUGGAUAUACAGCCAGAAGGUGCUGCUUCAGCAGCACAUACACUAAAAUUGGAUAUAUAGCCAGAAGAAUUUAGUGAAGGUGAACAUAGUUAUAAAUGAGGAAAGCAGUUGUGUGUUGUGAAGGAUGAAUACAUUUGGAGGAAGUGAUUCAGGUGAAAAACCACAUUAAAGGAACUCUGAGAUGUUUCAUGACACUGUGCAAAGCAUUAAACGUUAGAAAAAGAUCAAACUCAGAAAAGAGGAUGACAAUUUGCCAAGGCAUAGGAAAGAUGCUUGCUCCAUAUUGUAAGUUAUAUGAGAAAGCAAGCACUGUUCAAACUACUUGAGACUUGUUUAUAAAGAAAUAAAACAUUCUAAUUUUCAAUGUUUCUAAUGUUUUGAAUAUUUUAUUUUUUAUAUUUCAACCAAAAUCAGUUUCUAAUGUUUGGACAAAUUUUAAGGUUAUAGAACAAUCAGAUUGUGCUUUGCGCGGUUUCAGCUUUCAUAGUCCAAGUGAGAACUCCCUCUAUUUAAAACAAACUAGGAACUCUUUAUAUUUAACCAGAUAUAUCAAGUCUAGAAACAAAUACACUUUUCCCUUAGAUUACCAGUUAUAUUAUGACAGUUUUCAUACUGUCUUUGUAUGCAUGCUACUAUAACAAGGCUUUGAAAUAAAAAUUUAUACAAUA